Molecule: ribosomal RNA, 250 nt
Filed under: uncultured bacterium
Lineage: Bacteria
Description: partial 16S ribosomal RNA
Rfam family: Bacterial small subunit ribosomal RNA
Source: RNAcentral
UACGGAGGGUGCAAGCGUUAUUCGGAAUUACUGGGCGUAAAGGGCGUGCAGGCGGGUUGGUAAGUCUGAUGUGAAAGCCCGGGGCUCAACCCCGGAAGGGCACUGGAAACUGCCAGUCUUGAGUGCCGGAGAGGAAGGGGGAAUUCCCGGUGUAGAGGUGAAGUUCGUAGAGAUCGGGAGGAAUAUCAGUGGCGAAGGCGCCCUUCUGGACGGUUACUGACGCUGAGACGCGAAAGCGUGGGGAGCGAAC